RNAcentral lists this ribosomal RNA (447 nucleotides) under uncultured bacterium. Its description in RNAcentral is "bacterial SSU rRNA". It matches the Rfam family "Bacterial small subunit ribosomal RNA", at positions 355 to 825 of the family's 1533-position model. The record is from RNAcentral.
UCGGGAAUUUUGGGCAAUGGGCGAAAGCCUGACCCAGCAACGCCGCGUGAAGGAUGAAGUAUUUCGGUAUGUAAACUUCGUAAGAAUAGGAAGAAUAAAUGACGGUACUAUUUGUAAGGUCCGGCUAACUACGUGCCAGCAGCCGCGGUAAUACGUAGGGACCAAGCGUUGUUCGGAUUUACUGGGCGUAAAGGGCGCGUAGGCGGUUUGUCAAGUCAGUUGUGAAAUCUCCGAGCUUAACUCGGAACGGUCAAGUGAUACUGCUGUGCUAGAGUACAGAAGGGGCAAUCGGAAUUCUUGGUGUAGCGGUGAAAUGCGUAGAUAUCAAGAGGAACACCUGAGGUGAAGACGGGUUGCUGGGCUGAUACUGACGCUGAGGCGCGAAAGCUAGGGUAGCAAACGGGAUUAGAUACCCCCGUAGUCCCUGAGCGGGCUGGCAAGGCGCAU